Molecule: long non-coding RNA, 979 nt
Organism: Nicotiana tabacum (common tobacco)
Lineage: Eukaryota; Viridiplantae; Streptophyta; Magnoliopsida; Solanales; Solanaceae
Source: RefSeq, a predicted model, not a curated record
UACUCUCAUUCUUCUCUUUCUCUCUCAUUCUCUUCUCCGAUCGAGCAUACCUAAUUCCCCCAUUUUCGCUGAUGAGCUACUAAGCUCAUGAAAAAUCAUGAUAGGUGAGGGGAAAAAUGUCAGCUGAAUACAGAAAUUUAUGAUGACAUUACCAACAAGUUUUCAUGGAAUAUAUGCGUACAAGUUUCCGACUUUUUUAAGUGACCAGGAAGUGAAGAUACAAAAGUAUAAAAGAAGACAAAAUCAGAUUAUAAGUCUUGAGGAAAAGUUUUUAAAAAGACCAGCUACUCAAGAUGAGGUAUUUGAGUAUACACAUAUGAAGAAGCUAAAGGAUGGAACAAAGACAAUUGGGAUCGAGCCGCGAGCCGAGACAACCUAGAAUACUUGCAAACAAUCCUUGUAUGAGUUCAUUCAAAGCCAACCAACUGAUGAUCAAGGAAAGCCAAUCCAACCAUCGCAUGAGAAUUAUAUGGACUUGUGGAUUAAGGCGGCUGGUGGCGUACACAAGGGAAGAGUUUACGGCCUUGGAUCAGAGUUUAGUUCUAGCCGUCGGUCUUCUGGUGGCUCAUCUUCCUCAAGGUCCUCGAUUAAUCAGAAUAAGUUUGAGCUAUUGAAUAGAAGAAUAUCAUAGAUCACUUAGUUGUAUGCACAGGAAAGAGCUGCGCGGGAGGAGGAGGCAAAGCAAAGGGAGGAAGAAGAUAGGGGAGGGAGGAAGAGGAGAGGCGGAGGGAGGAUGAAAUGAGGCAAAAGGAUGGUGCAUUUGCACGUGUCACUAGUGACAUUGAAAGCCUCAAGGCCCAGCUAAACUCCCUCUUAGCAUCUGGUGCAUUCCUUUACCACGUUCUACAUCACGCUCUAACAAUACUAAGGAGUAGUUUUUUUUUAUUAAUCUAAUUUUGGGUGGGACUAGGAUGUUGGAUAUUAUGUAUCAAUUGGAUAAGAUUAAAUGCUGAAUUUCUUAUUUGAAUGUUUAGUUGCA